Molecule: ribosomal RNA, 670 nt
Filed under: Thyreocephalus amphidaseus
Lineage: Eukaryota; Metazoa; Arthropoda; Insecta; Coleoptera; Staphylinidae
Description: partial large subunit ribosomal RNA
Rfam family: Eukaryotic large subunit ribosomal RNA
Source: RNAcentral
UCACAGUACGUGAAACCGUUCAGGGGUAAACCUGAGAAACUCGAAAGAUCGAAUGGGGAGAUUCAGCGCGUCUCGGAGGGCGCGAGUGGUGGCACUGUGACGGUCGACGUUCGCGUCGGCCGCCUCGCCAUCACCGCAGUUCGACGAACGUGUGCACUUCUCCCCUAGUAGAAGGUCGUGACCCGUUGAGUGCCCGUCUACGGCCCGCGGAGGAAGCCCGUGCGGAGGAUUUUACGAUCCUCCGCCGGACCCGCGGUGUCCUGGCCGGCCCGCUCGACGGUGUUGAUAUUGGCGAGGGGCCGCGAUUUUCGCGUCCGGCGCGCAACAAGCUCGAACGGUUCAAUCCGUCUGUCGGACCUGGUGCCGACGGCGGACCCGUUCGGCUGUUGGUUGCGUCGUUCUCGGACCGACUCCCGCCUGUCAACGACGCCUUUGCAUUGGGUACUCUCAGGACCCGUCUUGAAACACGGACCAAGGAGUCUAGCAUGUGCGCGAGUCAUUGGGACUAGCGAAACCUAAAGGCGAAAUGAAAGCAAAGGCCACCUCAGGGUGUGCCGAGGGAGGAUGCGGAGCGCCAAGGUGCUCCGCCGCACUCCCGGGGCGUCUCGAGCUCAUUGCGAGCUGAGGCGCACCUAGAGCGUACAUGCUGGGACCCGAAAGAUGGGUGAAC